GAGGGAUAUUGGGCAAUGGGGGAAACCCUGACCCAGCGACGCCGCGUGAGGGAAGACGGUCUUCGGAUUGUAAACCUCUGUCUUUGGGGACGAAAAAGGACGGUACCCAAGGAGGAAGCUCCGGCUAACUACGUGCCAGCAGCCGCGGUAAUACGUAGGGAGCGAGCGUUGUCCGGAAUUACUGGGUGUAAAGGGAGCGUAGGCGGGAAGGCAAGUUGGAUGUGAAAACUGUGGGCUCAACCGACAGACUGCAUUCAAAACUGUUUUUCUUGAGUGAAGUAGAGGCAAGCGGAAUUCCUAGUGUAGCGGUGAAAUGCGUAGAUAUUAGGAGGAACACCAGUGGCGAAGGCGGCUUGCUGGGCUUUUACUGACGCUGAGGCUCGAAAGUGUGGGGAGCAAAC
This 401-nucleotide ribosomal RNA is filed under the name uncultured bacterium. RNAcentral describes it as "bacterial SSU rRNA". It matches the Rfam family "Bacterial small subunit ribosomal RNA", at positions 356 to 773 of the family's 1533-position model. The record is from RNAcentral.